ACUUCCUGACAUGGUGGAUGUGCCCGAAAGGGAACCUGAACACAGGUGCUGCAUGGCUGUCGUCAGCUCGUGUCGUGAGAUGUUGGGUUAAGUCCCGCAACGAGCGCAACCCUUGUCAUUAAUUGCCAUCAUUCAGUUGGGCACUUUAAUGAGACUGCCGGUGACAAACCGGAGGAAGGUGGGGAUGACGUCAAGUCCUCAUGGCCCUUAUGGGUAGGGCUUCACACGUCAUACAAUGGUCGGUACAGAGGGUCGCCAACCCGCGAGGGGAGCCAAUCCCACAAAGCCGAUCGUAGUCCGGAUCGCAGUCUGCAACUCGACUGCGUGAAGUCGGAAUCGCUAGUAAUCGUGGAUCAGCAUGUCACGGUGAAUACGUUCCCGGGUCUUGUACACACCGCCCGUCACACCAUGGGAGUGGUUCCACCAGAAGUAGGUAGUCUAACCGCAAGGGGGGCGCUUACCACGGUGGGAUUCAUGACUGGGGU
RNAcentral lists this ribosomal RNA (485 nucleotides) under uncultured bacterium. RNAcentral describes it as "bacterial SSU rRNA". It matches the Rfam family "Bacterial small subunit ribosomal RNA", at positions 996 to 1481 of the family's 1533-position model. The record is from RNAcentral.